RNAcentral lists this long non-coding RNA (227 nucleotides) under Sorghum bicolor (sorghum). RNAcentral describes it as "long non-coding RNA (SBIC_LNC001383)". Lineage: Eukaryota; Viridiplantae; Streptophyta; Magnoliopsida; Poales; Poaceae. The record is from RNAcentral.
CAUUCCUGGCCCAAGUGGAGUAAUGAGUGGAGGAACUUGAUAUACUUGCUCGUCGUAAUAAUUGGUCUGAUUCUAUCUACGGAUAGAUGAAGUCGGAUAUUUAUCAUUUAUCUAAAAAAAGAACAAGAAUGAUUCCUGUGGAGCCGAACAAGGCCUAAGGUAUGUUCGGUUCGCCAACCUAUUUCUUUUACAUCAUGCAUUAAACACAUUUACUUUUAGCGCAUUAG